UGCUACUUCUGCUCCUGCUUCGACUUUGACGCCGAUUUCUCGUUCUUCUGAUAAGAAGAAGUAAUAAUAUUAUUUCUUUCGUUUGAAGAAAGAGAGGGAGUUAUUAUUGUUAGAGGUGUUGUUGUUGAUUUAGGAAGAGAGAGGAGUUUUUAUUUUGUUGUUGUUUUGUUGUUGUUGUUGCUGUUGUUG
Molecule: non-coding RNA, 189 nt
Filed under: Paramoeba aestuarina
Lineage: Eukaryota; Discosea; Flabellinia; Dactylopodida; Paramoebidae
Source: RNAcentral